RNAcentral lists this ribosomal RNA (224 nucleotides) under uncultured bacterium. RNAcentral describes it as "partial 16S ribosomal RNA". It matches the Rfam family "Bacterial small subunit ribosomal RNA", at positions 524 to 747 of the family's 1533-position model. The record is from RNAcentral.
UACGGAGGGUGCAAGCGUUAUCCGGAUUCACUGGGUUUAAAGGGUGCGUAGGAGGGCAGGUAAGUCAGUGGUGAAAUCCUGGGGCUUAACCCCAGACUGCCGUUGAUACUAUCGGUCUUGAAUGUCGUGGAGGUGAGCGGAAUAUGUCAUGUAGCGGUGAAAUGCUUAGAUAUGACAUAGAACACCAAAUUGCGAAGGCAGCUUGCUACACGGAUAUUGACUCU